CGCCUAACACAUGCAAGUCGAACGAAGUAGCAAUACUUAGUGGCAGACGGGUGAGUAACAUGUAGGUAUCUGCCCUUUGGCCUGGAAUAACACGAGGAAACUUGUGCUAAUACCGGAUAAGUCUUUACGGAGAAAGCUUUAUGCACCAUUGGAUGAGCCUGCACUUGAUUAGUUUGUUGGUGGGGUAAUGGCCUACCAAGACUGUGAUCAAUAGCUGAUUUGAGAGGAUGAUCAGCCACAUUGGGACUGAGACACGGCCCAAACUCCUACGGGAGGCAGCAGUGGGGAAUCUUGCACAAUGGAGGAAACUCUGAUGCAGCGAUGCCGCGUGAGUGAAGAAGGCCUUUGGGUUGUAAAGCUCUUUCGUCGGGGAAGAAAAUGACUGUACCCGAAUAAGAAGGUCCGGCUAACUUCGUGCCAGCAGCCGCGGUAAUACGAAGGGACCUAGCGUAGUUCGGAAUUACUGGGCUUAAAGAGUUCGUAGGUGGUUGAAAAAGUUGGUGGUGAAAUCCCAGAGCUUAACUCUGGAACUGCCAUCAAAACUUUUCAGCUAGAGUAUGAUAGAGGAAAGCAGAAUUUCUAGUGUAGAGGUGAAAUUCGUAGAUAUUAGAAAGAAUACCAAUUGCGAAGGCAGCUUUCUGGAUCAUUACUGACACUGAGGAACGAAAGCAUGGGUAGCGAAGAGGAUUAGAUACCCUCGUAGUCCAUGCCGUAAACGAUGUGUGUUAGACGUUGGAAAUUUAUUUUCAGUGUCGCAGCGAAAGCGAUAAACACACCGCCUGGGGAGUACGACCGCAAGGUUAAAACUCAAAUGAAUUGACGGGGACCCGCACAAGUAGUGGAGCAUGUGGUUUAAUUCGAAGAUACGCGCAGAACCUUACCAACACUUGACAUGUUCGUCGCGACUCUAAGAGAUUAGAGUUUUCGGUUCGGCCGGACGAACACAGGUGCUGCAUGGCUGUCGUCAGCUCGUGUCGUGAGAUGUUGGGUUAAGUCCCGCAACGAGCGCAACCCUCACUUUUAGUUGCCAUCAUUAAGUUGGGCACUCUGAAAGAACUGCCAGUGAUAAGCUGGAGGAAGGUGGGGAUGACGUCAAGUCCUCAUGGCCCUUACGUGUUGGGCUACACACGUGCUACAAUGGUAUCUACAACAGGAAGCAAGACUGCGAAGUUAAGCAAAUCCCUAAAAGAUACCUCAGUUCGGAUUGCACUCUGCAACUCGAGUGCAUGAAGCUGGAAUUACUAGUAAUCGUGGAUCAGCGUGCCACGGUGAAUGCGUUCCCGGGUCUUGUACACACCGCCCGUCACACCAUGGGAGUUGGUUCUACCUUAAGGCAAGGUUUUAAACCCU
RNAcentral lists this ribosomal RNA (1350 nucleotides) under uncultured Pelagibacterales bacterium. RNAcentral's name for it is "bacterial SSU rRNA". It matches the Rfam family "Bacterial small subunit ribosomal RNA". Lineage: Bacteria; Pseudomonadati; Pseudomonadota; Alphaproteobacteria; Candidatus Pelagibacterales. The record is from RNAcentral.